Molecule: long non-coding RNA, 2250 nt
Filed under: Canis lupus familiaris (dog)
Lineage: Eukaryota; Metazoa; Chordata; Mammalia; Carnivora; Canidae
Description: lncRNA (ENSCAFG00030008297.1)
Source: RNAcentral
AUGGACCCCAACUUGAGCACAUCCCCACCCAGGGCCCACACGCCCUUGGCAACAGCAUCCGAACACAGGUGCAAACACCGCCCGGCUACCUGCCUCCAGAGGGGCUCUGGACCACGUCCUCACACACAACAACGCCGGGCAUGCUGCAGCUCCUUAAAGCACGAACAAAUACCUCCCAGAAGCAAGCGGCAGCAAGGACACGCGCGCCGAGCACCUACCCCCCACGGUCCUGCUGCUGCACCGACUCGGCUCGUUGCCUGGGUGGGAAACGCGGGCUCCCCUCCCCGUCCCCUUACAGGUGUAACUGCACCUUCCACAAAGGUGGCCGUGCUCGAAAUCCAAGUGAACUUCGGGAGCACCCGAAGGCUUCGGGUCGUGGGCACCGAAGUAUGGGCUCACUUUCCAGAAACUGCAAAAAAAAAAAAAAAAAGAAAAAAAAGAAAUGUGUGGCUUCUUGGCCCUGCGAGCCUCCCCCUCCCGCCCCGUCCUCAAACAGGACCAGCGGGGAGGCAGGCGCGUCCGAAGGGCGGCAAACGCCGCGGUCCCCGGGGGCACAGUCCCCGCGGCCGGCCGGGCGGAGGGAGCCCCGGGCCCCGCGCAGCGCCCGGGAUGCUCGGCGGCCGUCGGGGAGCGGGAGGCGCGGGGAGGCCCCGGGGCGUCGGGGGCGCGGCCCCCAGCCCUCCCCGGCCGCAGGCGCGCUCGCCUUACCUGGCCCGCGGCGGCGGCGGCGGCGGCGGCGGCGGCGGCGGCGGGACCCGGAGGGACCGAGCGAGGGAGCGAGCGAGGGAGGGAGGCGCCGCGGAGGAGGAGCUCGGCCGGGAGCGGGCGGGCCGCUUUGUUUCCACUGCGCCGAGCCGCCGACCCUGCGUCACCAUGGCAACCGCCGGGGACCCGGCGGGCGGGGGGCGGGGACCCCCACUCCCGGGUGCGCAGGGGCCCGGGCGCGCGGGGCCGCCACGGCAGUCCCGGGCUCCGAGGGGACCAGCCCCCCCAGGAGCGGCCGCACACACGCCCCCUCGCCCGCUCCGCACCGCGCGUCGGGCUCGCCCCAGCAGGGGGCAGCGGCCGGGCCGCGAGCCGGGGCCAGUUCCUAGUUCCACCCCGGCCGGCACCCCCGCCCCGCCCUGGACCUUCCGGCACCCCCACCCCCCACCACACCUUUCCUCUACGGAGCUCUUCCCUCAAAAUGGAAAUUCACCGGAGAGAGAAGAAAGAGCAGUGCAAACUGAUAAAGUGUUGAGCAACUGGCUGCGUUGUGAAUCCCAGCGGCUGCCGCUGCUGCGCAUCCUCCCGUGAGCCUACUCUGUGCCAGCAGCCUGCCAGGCGCUACAGACCCAGACCGUGUACGGCCCUUCCCAGAAGAGAGUGGCGAGGCUGACCUUGGCACAUGGCUAGGCGUCCCUUCUUAAGGAAAUUCUUGGAGAGGGAGGAAAAAUACUAGCAGACCCACCGUCAAGCUGCCUCUAAAGGACAGAGCUACAGAACAGCUACCGUGGGGUGAGUGAGUCAUCACCCCAUCCUAGGUCUUCUUGAAAGAUGAGCUACAGAAUCCAGAACCCACAGUCGUCUUCGUGUAGACCCUGGGGAGCAUGGCAUUUAUUUUCUGGCAUUUGUGAAUCACCAAAGGAAUGUCAAUAACUUAAAAAAAAAUCCACGGUAACUGACAUUUUCUGGGUUCGCUACCUGUAAGCCAUAAAGCAGAACACUGUUAUUACCAACUGAAGCCGUACAUAUUAAUCAAGGAAAAUAUAACAUCCAUUUUAUGGUGGAGAAUAGAAACAGCUUGCUCCUCAGGAAGGCUGGCCAGUUUCCUGUAACAGGAACAUUGGUACUUCCAGAUGAAGUCAAGAGACAAGGUCUUCCCGACAGACUGUUAAGCAGUUUGGCAGUAUUUGUCAAAAUUUAAUGCACAGGGGCGCCAGGGUGGCUCAGUCGGUUGCACGUGGGACUCUAGGUUUCCACUCGGGUUGUGAUCUUAGGGUCGUGAUCUCAGGGUCGUAAGAUCAAGCCCCAAGACAGGCUCUGAGCUCAAUGUGGAGUCGGCUUGUCCCUCCCCACCCCACAGCCCUCCUCUCCCUCUCUCUCUCACUCAAAAAUAAAUUCCUUAAGAAAAAAAAUUUUAAGAUGUACAUACCUUUCACCCUGCGAUCUCAAUUCUUAGAAAUCUGUUGUGCACAAAUACACAAGUGUGCAAUUACAGAUGGACAAGGAUGUGCCAUGCAGCAGUUUUGUAAUAGAAAUUUGAAGCAG